This is a long non-coding RNA of Panicum virgatum (switchgrass), 1501 nucleotides long. RefSeq lists it as uncharacterized. NCBI's taxonomy places the organism in Eukaryota, Viridiplantae, Streptophyta, Magnoliopsida, Poales, Poaceae. The record is from RefSeq and is a predicted model, not a curated record. The transcript is spliced from 7 exons.
GCGUCGCCUCCGUCCGCGGCUCGCGGCCUGCAUCCCCACGGCAGUCGCGCCGGCCGCCUGCCGCCGACGCUGCUGUCCCUGACGCCACCGACGUUGCGACGCCAAGCAGGGCAAGGCGGCCAGGCGCGCCUCAUUCAGCCCCUCCCCUCCUUGACCUCCCUCCCCUCUGCUCCUGCGUUCCCAAGGGCAGCAAGCCUCGCCGGCUGGCCGGCCGCGGUUGCCGUCCGUCCCUCCCCCCAAACCCAAGCUCCCAGAGAAGGAUCAGUUGCAGCUCCAUGGUCAUGAGGCCAUGCAUCGGUCUGUGCUAGAGCUAGACCGUGAAAGGAGCAGCGGGCAGCCGCAGCAAUGCCUGGCCAUGGGAAUUCCAAGUCAUCACGAUUCAAGUGCAUACAGCCAUACACCAUGGAAACAGCUUGCAAAGUGUUCGACAGAAUGCUCAUGAGGAGAAUAGGGACAGCAACAUGAGGAUAGUGGUUGUCUGAUCUCCCUGUUGUGCUCUAAUAACCACAUCAAGAGCAUGCCUACUUCUCUACCAGGAUCUCCUGAACCUUGGCAACAUAUUAUUGGAAGUGAAGUCCAAGAAGACACACAGUGGCUACAAAAGAUGGAGGAGAGCACCUGGCUCCUCCAUGACCUGAAAAUGGGCGAAUAAAGUUGUAGGUGGAUAAAUGGUUAGAAAAUUUGAACUAGAGAUAAAAUAUGAUCCAAAUGGAAUUUCAGAGAAUGCAGCUUCACUUAUCCAAGCAGGUUAAAUGGCAGAGAUUUCUUCCAGAAUAAGUGGAAUGUGGCAUGUAUGGCCUGAGCACGCCAAUGCAGAGCUCUGGUGAGGCCCUACCUCACCAGCAUCGGGGCACCGGCAGUAGGCUGACAACAGAGGUGGUGCACAGAAACAACAUUUAUAUUGGCUCAACCCUGCUAACUAGAGUAUAUCUGCAGCACCUUUAGUUCGGUAAGAUUCGCUUACUCCAUGCAUGAUCUAUGCUAGGACCAUUAACUGCUACUACUUAUUUCCUUUUCCUUUGAAAAAAUAUUGCUGUGUUCAUUUAUAUCAAUUCACAUCAACAUAGCUUGUGAUAUUGAUGUAAGAUAGUCUAGGCUUAGUGUUCUUUAGCUCUAUAAAAUAUUUAUAGGGAGAGCUUAUAUAACUAUAUGUUUGCAAACUACUGAGAGCUCCAUCGAGAGCUCCUAUAUCAUAUUAAAUUAUUAAGAGUUCCUAUAUCCUUAUUGUUCCAAAAAAAACUAACUGCAUCUAGAGUUAAUGAGUCCAAGAAUUCAUUCAUGGUGGACAUAUUCAUAUGUGAAAGAUCUUUCAGACAAUUGGUUUAACAGACCCAUGUAAAACUCCCCGCAGAAGGGAUAUAGUUUUCAAUGAAACACUAAUAUUUGUUACCAUUCAAAGCACUAAUAUUUUUAACUAAAUUUCAUAGUUUACAAAAUUCUAAAUAACUAAAUUGAUACAAAGUAAAUAUGAGCGCGCGCGAAGGCGCGCGUAAUGUACUCG